UGGUGGAAAUGCACGCAAAAGCUCAAAUUUGAAAUCUGGUACCUUCGGUGCCCGAGUUGUAAUUUGGAGAGGGCAACUUUGGGGCCGUUCCUUGUCUAUGUUCCUUGGAACAGGACGUCAUAGAGGGUGAGAAUCCCGUGUGGCGAGGAGUGCGGUUCUUUGUAAAGUGCCUUCGAAGAGUCGAGUUGUUUGGGAAUGCAGCUCUAAGUGGGUGGUAAAUUCCAUCUAAAGCUAAAUAUUGGCGAGAGACCGAUAGCGAACAAGUACAGUGAUGGAAAGAUGAAAAGAACUUUGAAAAGAGAGUGAAAAAGUACGUGAAAUUGUUGAAAGGGAAGGGCAUUUGAUCAGACAUGGUGUUUUGUGCCCUCUGCUCCUUGUGGGUAGGGGAAUCUCGCAUUUCACUGGGCCAGCAUCAGUUUUGGUGGCAGGAUAAAUCCAUAGGAAUGUAGCUUGCCUCGGUAAGUAUUAUAGCCUGUGGGAAUACUGCCAGCUGGGACUGAGGACUGCGACGUAAGUCAAGGAUGCUGGCAUAAUGGUUAUAUGCCGCCCGUCUUGAAACCACGGACCA
RNAcentral lists this ribosomal RNA (568 nucleotides) under Saccharomyces cerevisiae (brewer's yeast). Its description in RNAcentral is "eukaryotic LSU rRNA". It matches the Rfam family "Eukaryotic large subunit ribosomal RNA", at positions 87 to 668 of the family's 3401-position model. The record is from RNAcentral. Lineage: Eukaryota; Fungi; Ascomycota; Saccharomycetes; Saccharomycetales; Saccharomycetaceae.